This 285-nucleotide long non-coding RNA is filed under the name Linum usitatissimum (flax). Its description in RNAcentral is "long non-coding RNA (LUSI_LNC006564)". Lineage: Eukaryota; Viridiplantae; Streptophyta; Magnoliopsida; Malpighiales; Linaceae. The record is from RNAcentral.
UUCACACUCUUGCUUUCUAUUCCGUUUAGGGCACAAGCUGCCUUCGUCUGCAUUUUGCUUGGUCCGAACGCAACUCUUGUAGUGUGAUGCUGCUACUGCAGUAGUGUUUUAGACCCAUCAAUCGAAUCUUCCAUUGUAAAUACCUUGAAAGUCGUAGUACCUAGGAAUUGGAGUAGGCCAGCAAGAGACUCUUAGCUGAAACACCCUCCAACUGGGUUCAUAGAACUUUAACUUUACUGUAGAAAAGAAGUCUAACUCUGGCUCUCCCGUCAUCCCCAUACUCGA